Vicia faba (fava bean) is the source of this 231-nucleotide non-coding RNA. The record is from the annotation of a GenBank genome assembly. Lineage: Eukaryota; Viridiplantae; Streptophyta; Magnoliopsida; Fabales; Fabaceae.
AUGGGGGACUCACGAUCUAGGUGGUUGACAACGGCGGUAACUCCGACGGAGCAAGGAGACCACGGUGACCGGAGAAUGUGGUGCGCGGAUGGACGUUUCGCCGGUCUGGAGUGUGGCAGAUCUGUGAACGAAGGAGCGGCGGACUGUUGUGGCCGUGGUGACGGCAAAUGCGUGGCGGUACGUUGUUCCGGCCGAUUUCCUCUUCUUUGCUUUCUUACGAUUUGUCACUGA